RNAcentral lists this ribosomal RNA (507 nucleotides) under uncultured bacterium. Its description in RNAcentral is "partial 16S ribosomal RNA". The record is from RNAcentral.
GGAGUUAGCCGGUGCUUCUUCUGUGAGUGAUGUCCUUCCUGCCGGCUAUUAACCCGCAGGCCUUCUUCCUCACUGAAAGUGCUUUACAACCCGAAGGCCUUCUUCACACACGCGGCAUGGCUGGAUCAGGGUUGCCCCCAUUGUCCAAUAUUCCCCACUGCUGCCUCCCGUAGGAGUCUGGGCCGUGUCUCAGUCCCAGUGUGGCUGAUCAUCCUCUCAGACCAGCUACGGAUCGUCGCCUUGGUGAGCCGUUACCUCACCAACCAGCUAAUCCGACAUAGGCUCAUCCGAUAGCGCGAGGCCCGAAGGUCCCCCGCUUUCCCCCGUAGGGCGUAUGCGGUAUUAGCCUGGGUUUCCCCAGGUUAUCCCCCACUACCCGGGCAGAUUCCUAUGCAUUACUCACCCGUCCGCCGCUCGCCACCAGGGAGCAAGCUCCCCGUGCUGCCGCUCGACUUGCAUGUGUUAGGCUCGCCGCCACGCGUCAUCUGAGCGAGAUACAACUACUGA